Molecule: long non-coding RNA, 2996 nt
Filed under: Homo sapiens (human)
Lineage: Eukaryota; Metazoa; Chordata; Mammalia; Primates; Hominidae
Description: HSALNT0336614
Source: RNAcentral
GCCUUUGCAGCCUCCAUACUUAGCGAUGGCCUCCUGGACCCACUUUCUCUCUCAAACUGUCUUUUCUCAUUCCUUUGACUCUGCUGGACUUCGUCAUCCCCACGACCCGGUGUUGAGUCUGAUCACCCAACAUCAUCAGGAUAGAAGCUUCCCUCUCCUCCUCCAGACCUUGUGGUGUGCACGUGGGAGUCCAGGGACUAGAAUACUCAUUUUCAAAGCCUGACAUUGGACCCGGGAGACAGGGAAAAACCAUCCUCAGGAAGUCACAGUUCUCUGUUGAGAGAGUUUCCUGAAAACAAACAUUGGAUUAACAAAAGAGACAAAUGGAAGUUUAUUAAUGCAUGCUGUACCCAUCAUGCAGGAGAGGCCUCAGUUCAAAAGCAUUUCUCUCCCAAGGCAGUGACUUAGGGGACUUGCUUAAAUAGUAUUUCAACAAAGAACCAUCAAUCCGAUAUAGUAGAAAGACAAAGGAGAGAGCAGUUUCAGUCUUUCAAAAGGUAGGAAAAUGUAGGAAGAUAGUAAAAUGUGUCUGCAAUUUUUUCUGGUGCCUCCUGAAAACUUCUCUGGUGACUUCUCUGGGCUGAUAAGCAAGUUCUGUCUUAAGGAAGGAUUGAUGGCCUGCUAUCAGGCAAGCAGAGCCUGAGACAGAGUGUUCCCCUGUGUUUUCAGUGUUUGUAAUUCAACAGUGCUCACUAUUUUGGAGAGAAAUAUUUUGGUUUCCUUCAAUCAAAAUCUGAGAGUUCCUAAUGUACAAAUACUGUGCCUAAUUCACUCUUUUAUCUUCCCAAGGAUCUCCAUAUAGCAGGGGGCUAAUUUAGUGUUUGUUGAAUUGAAUUUAUUUAAGGUAGGCUUUCUUCUCUCCUUACAAUUUCACAUCAUGACUUUUACUGUUUUAUUUGUUGUGUGUCUGCAUUAGACCACCACUUACUGAUUUUUGCACUACUUAAUGGAAGCAGGACAGUAAAAUUGCCUAUGUGACUCUGAGCCUGAAUCAGAUAAAUAGUAACAUUUUGGAAAGUUCCAGGAAAGGGUAGGAAGCAGAAGAAAUGUGCUGUCAGGGAUUUUUCUGUCUACUAGGGGAUUGGUGCAGCAGAAAAGAGCACAGGUAUAGAAGUAAGAUGGGCUUGUUUUCAAACUUCUGCCAUUUCCUAGGAGGAAUAUGUCAUCUUAACAAGGCUUACCCUUAGGAAUGUUGGGAAGAUGAAAUAAAAUGUUACACAUAAAGCAUCCAGGAUAAUGCCAAACGUACAAAUGGUAGCUAUUAAAAUUUGAACCAGAAAGAUUAUGGUAUUACAAAAUAAGAGAUUUCUUUUUAGGUCACAUUGCUUGCUUAGAAAUGACUCACCCUGUCAAAAUAGGUUUCAAUUGUCCCCUUUCACUUCAGUGACAUGUGAAGAAAGCUGAUCCCAUCCAGAGAACUCAACCACCAUGGAGAAGACAGCUGAGUACUCCACCAUUACACAGAGCAACUCCCUGCCACUCUUAGGGUUGGUAAGCUAUGCCAGAGCUUACAUUGCUGAUUAACAUGAUGUUAGAAGCAAGUAGCAUCCCUUAGAAAUCAAUCAGUAAAGAUAAAAUCUUGAGAAAUUCCUCUGAUAAAAGACAAAGAGAUAUACAUUGGCUUGUAAAAUAGAAUUCAACUGUAAAAGUAGCAUACAAAAAAAAGAUACAGAUUAACAAAUUUUUUAAAAGGCAGAUAAAAAUUCACAAGUCAAGUGCAAAUGAAGGAAAUCUCAAAAUACAAUUAAAUGUGAAAGACAUCACCCUUCCAGGAGGUGAAACUUAAUGAUUACUACCCUAAAUCUUUAAAUAUGGACUGUUCUUAAUGAUUUGCUCCCAAAGAAUCGAAUAUGAAGGAAGAUUUAAAAAAGGAGGGAGAGGAAGGGGAAGAAAUUUUAUAGUGGAGAAAACUAUCCAACACUAUCUUGCCCAGGUAUGAAGGAUAACAUCACCAAUAAUAAGUCAUGUCUCCAGUCUAACCAUGAGAAGAACGUCAGACAAACCUUUCUCUCUACUAAAUAACUGAUCACUGUUCCUUAAAACUUUCAAGACCACACACACACACACACACACACACACACACACACACACACACAUAUAUAUGUAGAGAGAGAGAGAGAGAGAGAUCCCAGAAAAUGAAACAAAAAGAACCUUGAAAAAAGAUUAGACGAAUUGCUCACUAGAGUAACCAGUUUAGAGAAGAACAUAAAUGAACUGAUGGAGCUGAAAAACACAGCAUGAGAACUUCGUGAAGCAUACACAAGUAUCAACAGCUGAAUCAAUUAAGCAGAAGAAAGGAUAUCAGAGACUGAAGAUCAACUCAAAGAAAUACAGUGAGAAGACAAGGUUAUAGAAAAAAAGAGUGAAAAGAAACAAUGACUCUGAGAAACAUAGGACUAUGUGAAAAGACAAAAUCUAUGUUUGAUUGGUGUACCUGAAAGUAAUGGAGAGAAUGGAGCCAAGUUGGAAAAUACUCUUCAGGAUAAUAUCCAGGAGAACUUCCCCAACCUAGCAAGGCAAGCCAACAUUCAAAUUCAGAAAAUACGGAGAACACCACAAAGAUACUCCUUGAGAAGAGCAACCCCAAGACACAUAAUCAUCAGAUUUACCAAGGUUGAAAUGAAGAAAAAAAUGUUAAGGGCAGCCAGAGAGAAAGGUCAAGUUACCCACAAAGGGAAGCCCAUCAGACUAAUAGCAGAUCUCUCAGCAGAAACCCUACAAGCCAGAAGAGAGAGGGGGCCAAUAUUCAACAUUCUUAAAGAAAAACUUUUUGGACCAGUCACAGUGGCUCAUGCCUGUAAUCCCAGCACUUUGGGAGGCUGAGGUGGGCAGAUCAUGAGGUCAGGAGUUUGAGACCAGCCUAACCAACAUGGUGAAACCCUGUCUCUACUAAAAAUACAAAAAUUAGCCGGGCAUGGUGGCGCACACCUGUAAUCCCAGCUACUCAGGAGGCUGAGGCAGAAGAAUCGCUUGAACCCAGGAGGCGGAUUUUGCGG